GUGUCAGCAGCCGCGGUAAGACAGGGGCCUCGAGCGUUAAUCGGAAUCACUGGGCUUAAAGGGUGCGUAGGCGGGCCUGCAAGUGCUCUGUGAAAUCCCCCGGCUCAACCGGGGAACUGCGGGGCAUACUGCGGGCCUUGAGGAAGGUAGGCGCCGAGGGAACAGUAGGUGGAGCGGUGAAAUGCGUAGAUAUCUACUGGAACGCCGAUGGUGAAGACGCUCGGCUGGGCCUUUCCUGACGCUGAGGCACGAAAGCGUGGGGAGCAAACAGGAUUAGAAACCCCUGUAGUCC
Molecule: ribosomal RNA, 292 nt
Filed under: uncultured bacterium
Lineage: Bacteria
Description: partial 16S ribosomal RNA
Rfam family: Bacterial small subunit ribosomal RNA
Source: RNAcentral